Molecule: ribosomal RNA, 518 nt
Filed under: Clostridiales bacterium oral taxon 402
Lineage: Bacteria; Bacillati; Bacillota; Clostridia; Eubacteriales
Description: bacterial SSU rRNA
Rfam family: Bacterial small subunit ribosomal RNA
Source: RNAcentral
CCGCGUGAAGGAAGACGGCCUUCGGGUGGUAAACUUCUGUUCUUGGUGAAGAGGGAAAGACGGUAACCAAGGAGGAAGCCCCGGCUAACUACGUGCCAGCAGCCGCGGUAAUACGUAGGGGGCGAGCGUUGUCCGGAAUGAUUGGGCGUAAAGGGCGCGUAGGCGGCUACGGAAGUCUGGAGUGGAAGUCCUAUUUUCAAGGUAGGAAUUGCUUUGGAAACUCCGCAGCUUGAGUGCAGGAGAGGUUAUCGGAAUUCCCGGUGUAGCGGUGAAAUGCAUAGAGAUCGGGAGGAACACCAGUGGCGAAGGCGGGUAACUGGACUGCAACUGACGCUGAGGCGCCAAAGUGUGGGGAACCAACAGGAUUAAAUACCCUGGUAGUCCACACUGUAAACGAUGAAUGCUAGGUGUAGGUGGUAUCGACCCCAUCUGUGUCGUCGUAGACACAAUAAGCAUUCCGCCUGGGGAGUACGGUCGCAAGAUUAAAAUCCAAGGAAUUGACGGGGGCCGCACAAGCA